GAUGAACGCUGGCGGCGUGCCUAAUACAUGCAAGUCGAGCGAACGGACGAGAAGCUUGCUUCUCUGAUGUUAGCGGCGGACGGGUGAGUAACACGUGGAUAACCUACCUAUAAGACUGGGAUAACUUCGGGAAACCGGAGCUAAUACCGGAUAAUAUUUUGAACCGCAUGGUUCAAAAGUGAAAGACGGUCUUGCUGUCACUUAUAGAUGGAUCCGCGCUGCAUUAGCUAGUUGGUAAGGUAACGGCUUACCGAGGCAACGAUGCAUAGCCGACCUGAGAGGGUGAUCGGCCACACUGGAACUGAGACACGGUCCAGACUCCUACGGGAGGCAGCAGUAGGGAAUCUUCCGCAAUGGGCGAAAGCCUGACGGAGCAACGCCGCGUGAGUGAUGAAGGUCUUCGGAUCGUAAAACUCUGUUAUUAGGGAAGAACAUAUGUGUAAGUAACUGUGCACAUCUUGACGGUACCUAAUCAGAAAGCCACGGCUAACUACGU
Molecule: ribosomal RNA, 496 nt
Filed under: uncultured bacterium
Lineage: Bacteria
Description: partial 16S ribosomal RNA
Rfam family: Bacterial small subunit ribosomal RNA
Source: RNAcentral